Non-coding RNA from Caerostris darwini, 112 nucleotides. The record is from the annotation of a GenBank genome assembly. Lineage: Eukaryota; Metazoa; Arthropoda; Arachnida; Araneae; Araneidae.
AACGGCCAUACCAUGCUGAAUAUACCGGUUCUCGUUAGAUCACCGAAGUCAAGCAUCAUUGGGCGCGGUCAGUACUUGGGUGGGUGACCACCUGGGAACACCACAUGCCGUU